Molecule: long non-coding RNA, 208 nt
Filed under: Mytilus galloprovincialis (Mediterranean mussel)
Lineage: Eukaryota; Metazoa; Mollusca; Bivalvia; Mytilida; Mytilidae
Source: RNAcentral
GGGCCUAAAGUUCAUGGUCAGUUGCUGGUUUUUAAUUGUGUUUAUCGUUUAGAUAUAUAUCUCUCUCAAGCACUUUAACAAGUUUGUUUCUGCUGAUAACAGAAUUGAAUAUCGUUAGAUAUCAACUCGAGUUAUUUAAUUUCAAUAUAUUAAUAAACGAGUCUGUGGCGAGUUUAUUAUUACUAUUCAAAUUAAAUAACGAAAGUUG